GGGAGGAAUAUUGGACAAUGGGGGCAACCCUGAUCCAGCGACGCCGCGUGGGCGAUGAAGGCCUUCGGGUCGUAAAGCCCUUUUCUGAGGGAAGAGAACGGACGGUACCUCAGGAAUAAGUCUCGGCUAACUACGUGCCAGCAGCCGCGGUAAAACGUAGGAGGCGAGCGUUAUCCGGAUUUACUGGGCGUAAAGCGCGUGCAGGCGGUUGUGCAAGUUGGGCGUGAAAUCUCCCGGCUCAACUGGGAGGCGCCGUUCAAUACUGCAUGACUUGAGGGCAGGAGAGGGAAGCGGAAUUCCCGGUGUAGCGGUAAUAUGCGCAGAUAUCGGGAGGAACACCAGUGGCGAAGGCGGCUUCCUGGCCUGUUCCUGACGCUGAUACGCGAAAGCUAGGGGAGCGAACGGGAUUAGAAACCCCGGUAGUCC
RNAcentral lists this ribosomal RNA (426 nucleotides) under uncultured bacterium. RNAcentral describes it as "bacterial SSU rRNA". It matches the Rfam family "Bacterial small subunit ribosomal RNA", at positions 354 to 796 of the family's 1533-position model. The record is from RNAcentral.